GAUGAACGCUGGCGGCGUGCCUAACACAUGCAAGUCGAGCGGACAGACGAGGAGCUUUUUCCCUUGACGUUAGCGGCUGACGGGUGGGUAACACGUGGAUCACCUACCUAUAUGACUGGGAUAAUUUCGUGAAGCCGGAGCUAAUACUGGAGAAUAUAUUGAACCGCAUGGUGCAAUAGUGAAAGAGGGUUUUGCGGUCUGUAAUAGAUGGAUACGCGCCGCAUUAGUUAGUUGGUAAGGUAACGACGUACCAAGGCCACGAUGCGUAGCCGACGUGAGAGAGUGAUCAGCAGCACUGGAACUGAGACACGGUCCAAACUCCUACGAGAGGCCGCAGAAGGGAAUAGUGCGCAAGAGGCGGAAGCCUGACAGAGAGACGCCGAGUGAGUGAUAGAAGACUUCGGAUCGGAAAGAUGUAUUAUUGGGGAAGAACAAAUGUCAACAUAACUAGUCCAGUGUUGACGGUACCUAAAGAAAAAGCAACGGCUAACUACGUG
Molecule: ribosomal RNA, 497 nt
Filed under: uncultured bacterium
Lineage: Bacteria
Description: partial 16S ribosomal RNA
Rfam family: Bacterial small subunit ribosomal RNA
Source: RNAcentral